AAGUAGGGUAAAUAAUCGAGGUAAUUUAGUCGACCUACAUUGUUUCAACAUGGAGAUAUAUAAAUUUAUUUUCAGAUUUAACUUAAUUUAUCUGUUGGUUCAUAUUUCUAGUGAAUUCCCCCUAGGACAUAAGGAAUACCAGAAUUUUACAAAGUUUCCAAGAGAUGUUAAGACCACAACUGAAAAUGCUGGUUCGAUUUGUUGCACGCACGGGCAAUGGGAAGCGAACGCUUACUUAAAUGUGGGAGCUACGAUAUCAAUGUAUAACGAAACAGUGUAUCUCUUCUAUAACGGAACAGGAAAUGUUGCUUUUGAUGAAGUAAACCAACGGGCAUAUGUCAAUUACCAGCUGACGACAUUUUCUCCAAUUAUACCUACACAUUACCGUUUGAAAACGACAAAGAUUUUCGACUUUGCAAAGAAAGUGCAAACCAGCUGUCUCAAUGUGUGUUUGGAGGAGAAACCGUUUCAACGUACCAGUUUUCAAAGAGAGAUAUACUUGAAGAAAUAACCACAGUAACAGUACUUCAAAAUGGGAGCUACUGUGCGACCGUUUCCUUGUCCUACGCCUUUUUCACCGACCCUGAUACACUAGGAGGAACAGUAUACGAUGUCGAUGUUGUCGAUUUCUCCCAUGGAAUCAAAGACCCGUCAAUUUUUGUGCCACUAAAAUCUUGCGAUACUUAGAUAUAUUGUACAUCUUGUUAUAUAGCUGGGUGAAAAUAAAACUGAUCCAUCCCUAUGCUGCGCCGAAUAUCUGUUUUACAGAUCGACUUUGGUUGCAAGAAUGCAGUAACUUAUUUAUCUUGAAACUGCUGCACAUUACGUAUAGUUGAUGAUAAAUCUAAAACAAAAGUAAAAUAAAACAUUAAAUUUGCUAACAAAUAAAUGCUUAGCUGGGCAAGUAUC
Mercenaria mercenaria is the source of this 909-nucleotide RNA transcript. RefSeq lists it as uncharacterized. The transcript is spliced from 3 exons. NCBI's taxonomy places the organism in Eukaryota, Metazoa, Mollusca, Bivalvia, Venerida, Veneridae. The record is from RefSeq and is a predicted model, not a curated record.